This 779-nucleotide ribosomal RNA is filed under the name uncultured bacterium. RNAcentral describes it as "bacterial SSU rRNA". It matches the Rfam family "Bacterial small subunit ribosomal RNA", at positions 62 to 827 of the family's 1533-position model. The record is from RNAcentral.
UCGAGCGAGAACCAUGGCUUCGGCCAUGGGGACAGCGGCGAACGGGUGAGUAACACGUGGGUAAUCAACCCCCGACACCGGGAUAGCCCGGGGAAACCCGGAUUAAUACCGGAUGCUCCGUCUGGCCUGAGGGCCGGCCGGAAAAGGGUAGCUUCGGCCUCCGGUCGGGGACGAGCCCGCGGCGGAUUAGCUUGUUGGUGGGGUAACGGCCCACCAAGGCGACGAUCCGUAGCUGGUCUGAGAGGACGAUCAGCCACACUGGGACUGAGACACGGCCCAGACUCCUACGGGAGGCAGCAGUAGGGAAUCUUGCGCAAUGGGCGAAAGCCUGACGCAGCGACGCCGCGUGAGGGAAGAAGGCCUUCGGGUUGUAAACCUCUUUCAGGAGGGACGAAGCCACUCGGGUUAAUAGCCCAGAGGGUGACGGUACCUCCAGAAGAAGCCCCGGCUAACUACGUGCCAGCAGCCGCGGUAAUACGUAGGGGGCAAGCGUUGUCCGGAUUUAUUGGGCGUAAAGAGCGUGUAGGCGGCCAAGCAGGUCCGCUGUGAAAACUCGGGGCUCAACCUCGAGAGGUCGGUGGAAACCGUUUGGCUAGAGUCCGGAAGAGGAGAGUGGAAUUCCCGGUGUAGCGGUGAAAUGCGCAGAUAUCGGGAAGAACACCCGUGGCGAAGGCGGCUCUCUAGGACGGUACUGACGCUGAGACGCGAAAGCGUGGGGAGCGAACAGGAUUAGAUACCCUGGUAGUCCACGCCGUAAACGAUGGGCACUAGGUGUGGCG